CUAUGGGUUGCAGCAGUGAGGAAUAUUGCACAAUGGGGGAAACCCUGAUGCAGCAACGCCGCGUGGAGGAUGACGCAUUUCGGUGUGUAAACUCCUUUUAUAUGUCAAGAAAAUGACGGUAGCAUAUGAAUAAGCACCGGCUAACUCCGUGCCAGCAGCCGCGGUAAUACGGAGGGUGCAAGCGUUACUCGGAAUCACUGGGCGUAAAGGACGCGUAGGCUGUUUGGCAAGUCAGAUGUGAAAUCCUAUGGCUCAACCAUAGAACUGCAUUUGAAACUGCCAGACUAGAGUAUGGGAGGGGGAGAUGGAAUUAGUGGUGUAGGGGUAAAAUCCGUAGAUAUCACUAGGAAUACCUAAAGCGAAGGCGAUCUCCUGGAACAUUACUGACGCUAAGGCGUGAAAGCGUGGGGAGCAAACAGGAUUAGAUACCCGCGUAGUC
RNAcentral lists this ribosomal RNA (439 nucleotides) under uncultured bacterium. RNAcentral describes it as "partial 16S ribosomal RNA". It matches the Rfam family "Bacterial small subunit ribosomal RNA", at positions 339 to 795 of the family's 1533-position model. The record is from RNAcentral.